UAUGUAGUAAAACUCGUAGUCGUGCAUGGAGGAAUACUAUCACUGCUGCUGCCUUUGUACAUGUCGUAGCUUUAAUAUGGCAGUCGAGGAACAAAAUACAAUUUCAGAAUAUGGCAUACGAUGAAGAUAGAACCACUAGAGAGAUUGCAUUACUUCUUCACAUUCGUGGGAGACAUAGUAGAAGCUGGCAGAUCGGUCUACGUCAACUCAACUGCUUUCCAUAAUUUUUUGUCGUUACUUGUGGGAACUCAAAUACAUAU
RNAcentral lists this long non-coding RNA (260 nucleotides) under Nicotiana benthamiana. RNAcentral's name for it is "long non-coding RNA (NBEN_LNC008149)". Lineage: Eukaryota; Viridiplantae; Streptophyta; Magnoliopsida; Solanales; Solanaceae. The record is from RNAcentral.